AAGGAUCAUUACCGAGUUAGGGUCCUCUGGGCCCCAUCUCCAACCCUUGUCUACCUUACCCUGUUGCUUUGGCGGGCCCGUCCUUAACCGGACCGCCGGGGUUCUCUGGAUCCCCGGCCCGCGCCCGUCAGUAGCCCCCCUCAAACUCUUUUGAACAAAUGUCGUCUCAGUCUGAAAAAGCAAUAAAACCAAAAACUUUCAACAACGGAUCUCUUGGUUCUGGCAUCGAUGAAGAACGCAGCGAAAUGCGAUAAGUAAUGCGAAUUGCAGAAUUCCGUGAGUCAUCGAAUCUUUGAACGCACAUUGCGCCCUUUGGUAUUCCGAAGGGCAUGCCUGUUCGAGCGUCAUUAUCAACCCUCAAGCCCGGCUUGCUAUUGGGUCCCGCAUCACCCUCGACGGCGGUGGACCCGAAAGAUAAUGGCAAAGCCCGCGGGGACCCUGGACGCAACGAGCUUUUUCAGCACGCGUCUGGACGGUCUCCCGGCUCCGCCUCAACCGCAAGAAUCUUCUCUCAAGGUUGACCUCGGAUCAGGUAGGGAUACCCGCUGAACUUAA
Molecule: ribosomal RNA, 555 nt
Filed under: uncultured fungus
Lineage: Eukaryota; Fungi
Description: eukaryotic LSU rRNA
Rfam family: 5.8S ribosomal RNA (bases 194-347)
Source: RNAcentral